RNAcentral lists this ribosomal RNA (446 nucleotides) under uncultured bacterium. RNAcentral's name for it is "SSU rRNA". It matches the Rfam family "Bacterial small subunit ribosomal RNA", at positions 26 to 518 of the family's 1533-position model. The record is from RNAcentral.
AGAACGAACGCUGGCGGCAGGCCUCAAACAUGCAAGUCUAGGGGGUGUAGCAAUACAUCACCGGCGGACGGGUGCGUAACACGUGGGAAUAUACCUUUUGGUUCGGAACAACGCAGGGAAACUUGCGCUAAUACCGAAUGUGCCCUUACGGGAAAGAUUUAUCGCCAAAGGAUUAGCCCGCGUAGGAUUAGCUAGUUGGUGAGGUAAUGGCUCACCAAGGCUCCGAUCCUUAGCUGUUCUGAGAGGAAGAUCAGCCACACUGGGACUGAGACACGGCCCAGACUCCUACGGGAGGCAGCAGUUGGGAAUCUUGGACAAUGGGGAAACCCUGAUCCAGCCAUGCCGCGUGAGUGAUGAAGGCCUUCGGGUUGUAAAACUCUUUCGACGGGGACGAUAAUGACGGUACCCGUAGAAGAAGCUCCGGCUAACUUCGUGCCAGCAGCCGC